RNAcentral lists this ribosomal RNA (1540 nucleotides) under Timon pater. Its description in RNAcentral is "partial large subunit ribosomal RNA". It matches the Rfam family "Bacterial large subunit ribosomal RNA", at positions 248 to 2830 of the family's 2925-position model. Lineage: Eukaryota; Metazoa; Chordata; Lepidosauria; Squamata; Lacertidae. The record is from RNAcentral.
GCCCAACUAAAUCUAGCCAAUCAUAUACUCCAGCCCACCCCCAAAAAAACCAAAACAUUUACCACGGCCAGUAAAUGAGAUUAAACCCCACCAAUUUAGGCCUUAAAAGUACCGCAAGGGAACAAUGAAAGAACAAUGAAACAACUCAAGCAUAAAACAGCAAAGACUAACCCCUGUACCUCCUGCAUCAUGGUUUAGCAAAACCUUUUCAGACAAAGAGAACCUUUAGCCUGCCCCCCCGAAACCAAACGAGCUAUUUUUAGGCAGUUAAUAAGAACACACCCGUCCCUGUAGCAAAAGGGUGGGAAGACCUAAAAAUAGAGGCGAAAAGCCAAUCGAGCUUGGUGAUAGCUGGCUACUCAAUAAAAGAAUUUAAGUUCAACUUUAGAUUUCCAGAGCCCACUUACCUCAACCUCACCCUUAUAAAUCUAAAGGAAAUCAAUGGGGGUACAGCCCCAUUGAACCGGAAUACAGCCCGAACCGAGAGAUAAUAUAACCCCUUCUUUUUCAGUGGGCCUCAAAGCAGCCACCAAAAACCGCGUUAAAGCAAAAACUAAAACAAUUCUACCAACUAAACUACCCUCCCGAUUCAUUCUGAGUUAUUCUAUAAUAAUAUAGAAAAACAAAUGCUAAAAUUAGUAAUAAGAAACACUAAUUUCUCUCCGCACCCCUUUAAGCCAGAAUAGAAAAACUACUGGCAAUUAACAAAUUUAAUCCAACCUAUCUACUACAUUCAAGCCCUAAUAUUACCCAAAUUGUUACCCCAACACAGGUGUGCAAAAAAGAAAGGCAAAAAACCGUAAAAGGAACUCGGCAAUACUUAGUCCCAACUGUUUACCAAAAACAUAGCCUUUAGCCCUACUAGUAUUAAAGGUCUUGCCUGCCCAGUGACUCUUUAAACGGCCGCGGUAUCCUAACCGUGCAAAGGUAGCAUAAUCACUUGUCCCCUAAAUAGGGACUGGAAUGAAUGGCUAAAUGAGGACUAAACUGUCUCUUACAGGUUGGCCAAUGAAAUUGAUAUUCCAGUACAAAAGCUGGAAUAAACCCAUAAGACGAGAAGACCCUGUGGAGCUUUAAAGCCAAGUCCACUAAAUAUGGCUCUUGAAUUUUCAGUUGGGGCGACUUUGGAGUAAAACAAAACCUCCAAGAAAACUUCUAUUGAGGUUAACACACCAAAAUAAUAAUACAGACCCAGCAAUAAUUCCAACCAAUUGCCUGAUCAAUGAACCAAGUUACCCCAGGGAUAACAGCGCCAUCCCCUUUUAGAGUCCCUAUCGACAAGGGGGUUUACGACCUCGAUGUUGGAUCAGGACACCCCAAUGGUGCAGCCGCCAUUAAAGGUUCGUUUGUUCAACGAUUAAAGUCCUACGUGAUCUGAGUUCAGACCGGAGCAAUCCAGGUCGGUUUCUAUCUAUGCAACACUGUUCUCAGUACGAAAGGACCAGAACAGUAGGACCCAUAUUAAAUAAACGUCCUAACUAAAAUUACUGAUAAUACUUAAGUAAUUAUCGUGGCCCUCCCCAGCCCUAAAAUAGGGCUU